AAUCAAUUGAGAUUCCCUCAGUAGCGGCGAGCGAACGGGGAUCAGCCCAUUAAGUUAUGUGUGUUUUAGUGGAACGCUCUGGGAAGUGCGAACGUAGAGGGUGAUAUUCCCGUACACGAAAGGGCACACAUAAUGAUGACGAGUAGGGCGAGGCACGUGAAACCUUGUCUGAAUAUGGGGGGACCAUCCUCCAAGGCUAAAUACUCCUGACUGACCGAUAGUGAACCAGUACCGUGAGGGAAAGGCGAAAAGAACCCCUGUGAGGGGAGUGAAAUAGAUCCUGAAACCGCAUGCAUACAAGCAGUGGGAGCACCUUCGUGGUGUGACUGCGUACCUUUUGUAUAAUGGGUCAGCGACUUAUAUUCAGUAGCGAGGUUAACCGUAUAGGGGAGCCGUAGAGAAAUCGAGUCUUAAUAGGGCGUUUAGUUGCUGGGUAUAGACCCGAAACCAGGCGAUCUAUCCAUGAGCAGGUUGAAGGUUGGGUAACACUAACUGGAGGACCGAACCCACUGUCGUUGAAAAGCCAGGGGAUGACUUGUGGAUAGGGGUGAAAGGCUAAUCAAGCCUGGUGAUAGCUGGUUCUCCCCGAAAGCUAUUUAGGUAGCGCCUCGGACGAAUACCAUAGGGGGUAGAGCACUGUUUCGGCUAGGGGGUCAUCCCGACUUACCAAACCGAUGCAAACUCCGAAUACCUAUGAGUACUAUCCGGGAGACAGACUGCGGGUGCUAACGUCCGUAGUCAAGAGGAAAACAAUCCAGACCGCCAGCUAAGGCCCCAAAAUCAUAGUUAAGUGGGAAACGAUGUGGGAAGGCAUAGACAGCUAGGAGGUUGGCUUAGAAGCAGCCACCCUUUAAAGAAAGCGUAAUAGCUCACUAGUCGAGUCGGCCUGCGCGGAAGAUGUAACGGGGCUAAAACUAUGUGCCGAAGCUGCGGAUGUAUACUUUGUAUACGUGGUAGGGGAGCGUUCUGUAAGCCGAUGAAGGUGUGUUGAGAAGCAUGCUGGAGGUAUCAGAAGUGCGAAUGCUGACGUGAGUAACGACAAAACGGGUGAAAAACCCGUUCGCCGAAAGACCAAGGGUUCCAGUCCAACGUUAAUCGGGGCUGGGUGAGUCGACCCCUAAGGCGAGGCCGAAAGGCGUAGUCGAUGGGAAAAUGGUUAAUAUUCCAUUACUUCUGUGUAAUGCGAUGAGAGGACGGAGAAGGCUAAAUCAGCCUGGCGUUGGUUGUCCAGGUGAAAGGAUGUAGGCAUGUAUCUUAGGCAAAUCCGGGGUACUCUAUGCUGAGAUCUGAUAGCAAGCUGUACUUGUACAGCGAAGUGGUUGAUGCCAUGCUUCCAGGAAAAGUCUCUAAGCUUCAGUUACACAGGAAUCGUACCCGAAACCGACACAGGUGGUCAGGUCGAGUAGACCAAGGCGCUUGAGAGAACUCUGCUGAAGGAACUAGGCAAAAUGGUACCGUAACUUCGGGAGAAGGUACGCUGUUGUUGGUGAUGGAACUCGCUUCCUGAGCUGACGACAGCCGCAGAAACCAGGCCGCUGCAACUGUUUAUUAAAAACAUAGCACUCUGCAAACACGAAAGUGGACGUAUAGGGUGUGAUGCCUGCCCGGUGCUGGAAGGUUAAUUGAUGGGGUUAGCGUAAGCGAAGCUCUUGAUCGAAGCCCCAGUAAACGGCGGCCGUAACUAUAACGGUCCUAAGGUAGCGAAAUUCCUUGUCGGGUAAGUUCCGACCUGCACGAAUGGCAUAAUGAUGGCGGCGCUGUCUCCAGCAGAGGCUCAGUGAAAUCGAAAUCGCUGUGAAGAUGCAGUGUACCCGCGGCUAGACGGAAAGACCCCGUGAACCUUUACUGCAGCUUGACACUGAACUUUGACCUUACUUGUGUAGGAUAGGUGGGAGGCUUUGAAGCUGGAACGCUAGUUCCAGUGGAGCCGUCCUUGAAAUACCACCCUGGUAAUGUUGAGGUUCUAACUCUGUCCCGUGAUCCGGGACGAGGACCGUGUCUGGUGGGUAGUUUGACUGGGGCGGUCUCCUCCUAAAGAGUAACGGAGGAGUACGAAGGUGCGCUCAGCGUGGUCGGAAAUCACGCGUAGAGUAUAAAGGCAAAAGCGCGCUUAACUGCGAGACCCACAAGUCGAGCAGGUACGAAAGUAGGUCUUAGUGAUCCGGUGGUUCUGUAUGGAAGGGCCAUCGCUCAACGGAUAAAAGGUACUCUGGGGAUAACAGGCUGAUACCGCCCAAGAGUUCAUAUCGACGGCGGUGUUUGGCACCUCGAUGUCGGCUCAUCUCAUCCUGGGGCUGAAGCAGGUCCCAAGGGUAUGGCUGUUCGCCAUUUAAAGAGGUACGCGAGCUGGGUUUAGAACGUCGUGAGACAGUUCGGUCCCUAUCUACCGUGGGCGCUGGAAAUUUGAGAGGAUCUGCUCCUAGUACGAGAGGACCAGAGUGGACGAACCUCUGGUGUACCGGUUGUGACGCCAGUCGCAUCGCCGGGUAGCUAUGUUCGGAAGGGAUAACCGCUGAAAGCAUCUAAGCGGGAAGCCUACCUCAAGAUAAGAUUUCCCUAGGACUUUAUGUCCUCUAAAGAGCCGUUCGAGACUAGGACGUUGAUAGGUUGGAUGUGGAAGCAUAGUGAUAUGUGAAGCUGACCAAUACUAAUUGCUCGUGAGGCUUGACUAU
RNAcentral lists this ribosomal RNA (2672 nucleotides) under Acinetobacter baumannii 44467_4. RNAcentral's name for it is "bacterial LSU rRNA". It matches the Rfam family "Bacterial large subunit ribosomal RNA". The record is from RNAcentral. Lineage: Bacteria; Pseudomonadati; Pseudomonadota; Gammaproteobacteria; Moraxellales; Moraxellaceae.